This 253-nucleotide ribosomal RNA is filed under the name uncultured bacterium. RNAcentral describes it as "partial 16S ribosomal RNA". It matches the Rfam family "Bacterial small subunit ribosomal RNA", at positions 524 to 776 of the family's 1533-position model. The record is from RNAcentral.
GACAGAGGUGCCGAGCGUUAGGCGGAAUCACUGGGCUUAAAGCGUGUGUAGGCGGGUCCGUAAGUACCUUGUGAAAUCCCACGGCUCAACCGUGGAACUGCUUGGUAUACUGCGGGUCUUGAGCCACCUAGGGGCAAGCGGAACAAGCGGUGGAGCGGUGAAAUGCGUAGAGAUCGGAAAGAACACCAACGGCGAAAGCACUCUGCUGGGCCGACACUGACACUGAGAGACGAAAGCUAGGGGAGCGAAUGGG